This 378-nucleotide ribosomal RNA is filed under the name Mucuna sloanei. RNAcentral describes it as "eukaryotic LSU rRNA". The stretch from base 1 to 111 matches the Rfam family "5.8S ribosomal RNA", at positions 46 to 154 of the family's 154-position model. Lineage: Eukaryota; Viridiplantae; Streptophyta; Magnoliopsida; Fabales; Fabaceae. The record is from RNAcentral.
UAGCGAAAUGCGAUACUUGGUGUGAAUUGCAGAAUCCCGUGAACCAUCGAGUCUUUGAACGCAAGUUGCGCCCGAAGCCAUUAGGUUGAGGGCACGCCUGCCUGGGUGUCACACAUGGUUACCCGAAAGCAAACGCCUGAUGUGCGUGUGCAGGGUGGAAGCUGACCUCCCGUGGGCAACGACUCGCGGCUGGUUGAAAAUGGAGUUCAUGGUUGAGAAUGCCGUGAUAAAAUGGUGGAUGAGCGUUGCUCGAGACCAAUCGCGUGUGGCUCGAUCAAUUUUGGACUCUCUGACCCAGAUGCGUCCAUGGACGCUCUCAACGAGACCUCAGGUCAGGCGGGGCCACCCGCUGAGUUUAAGCAUAUCAAUAAGCGGAGG